Molecule: ribosomal RNA, 120 nt
Filed under: uncultured bacterium
Lineage: Bacteria
Description: partial 16S ribosomal RNA
Rfam family: Bacterial small subunit ribosomal RNA
Source: RNAcentral
CACGCCGUAAACGAUGAGCACUAGGUGUCGGGGCCGCAAGGCUUCGGUGCCGCAGUUAACGCAUUAAGUGCUCCGCCUGGGGAGUACGCACGCAAGUGUGAAACUCAAAGGAAUUGACGG